GGACCCGCACAAGCGGUGGAGCAUGUGGUUUAAUUCGAUGCAACGCGAAAAACCUUACCUACACUUGACAUACUUGGAAUCUUUUGUAAUGAAAGAGUGCCUUUUGGAGCCAAGAUACAGGUGCUGCAUGGCUGUCGUCAGCUCGUGUCGUGAGAUGUUGGUUAAGUCCCAUAACGAGCGCAACCCUUACCCUUAUUUGCCAGCGAUUCGGUCGGGAACUAUAAGGGGACUGCCGGUGAUAAACCGGAGGAAGGUGAGGACGACGUCAAGUCAUCAUGGCCCUUACGUGUAGGGCUACACACGUGCUACAAUGGCCGGUACAGAGAGCAGCCACUUCGCAAGAAGGAGCG
RNAcentral lists this ribosomal RNA (350 nucleotides) under uncultured bacterium. Its description in RNAcentral is "bacterial SSU rRNA". It matches the Rfam family "Bacterial small subunit ribosomal RNA", at positions 917 to 1269 of the family's 1533-position model. The record is from RNAcentral.